AUGGAGUAUGUCCCGGAGACGCUCUACCGCGGGCUUAAGAACUACAGUAAUACCAAACAGGGGAUGUCACUUAUCUACGUCAAGCUUUACACCUAUCAGGGGGCUCGUGUACAUUCAUUACUAUUCGGAAUCUGUCACAGGGAUGUGAAGCCACAAAGGGCCUUUGGAUGGGAAUCAUCUUCGGUAUUUUGGUCCAGGUCUUGUUGUUCGUGGCCAUCACACUGCACACCAUCUGGCAAAAUAAGCAACCAUGUUGACAGCCUGGCAUCUCUUUGUUCCAUUCUAUUGACUUCAUGUGGCAUUAUGUAUGAAGCCCUUUGA
Molecule: ribosomal RNA, 321 nt
Filed under: Triticum aestivum (bread wheat)
Lineage: Eukaryota; Viridiplantae; Streptophyta; Magnoliopsida; Poales; Poaceae
Description: partial small subunit ribosomal RNA
Source: RNAcentral